GACGAACGCUGGCGGCGUGCUUAACACAUGCAAGUCGAGCGGUAAGGCCCCUUCGGGGGUACACGAGCGGCGAACGGGUGAGUAACACGUGGGUGACCUGCCCUCAGCUCUGGGAUAAGCCUGGGAAACUGGGUCCAAUACCGGAUAUGACUCCAUGACGCAUGUCGUGGGGUGGAAAGCCUUGUGCGGCUGGGGAUGGGCCCCGCGGCCUAUCAGCUUGUUGGUGGGGUAACGGCCUACCAAGCGACGAUCCAUAGCUGGUCUGAGAGGACGAUCAGCCACACUGGGACUGAGACACGGCCCAGACUCCUACGGGAGGCAGCAGUGGGGAAUCUUGCGCAAAUGGGCGAAAGCCUGACGCAGCGACGCCGCGUGGGGGAAGAAGGCCUUAGGGUUGUAAACCUCUUUCAGCAGGGACGAAGCUACUCGGGUUAAUAGCCCCAGAGGGUGACGGUACCUGCAGAAGAAGCCCCGGCUAACUACGUGCCAGCAGCCGCCGCGGUAAC
This 506-nucleotide ribosomal RNA is filed under the name uncultured bacterium. RNAcentral describes it as "bacterial SSU rRNA". It matches the Rfam family "Bacterial small subunit ribosomal RNA", at positions 28 to 524 of the family's 1533-position model. The record is from RNAcentral.